AACGAACGCUGGUGGUAUGCUUAAUACAUGCAAGUCGAACGGGCAUAGCAAUAUGUCAGUGGCAAACGGGUGAGGAAUAUAUAGGAACCUCCCUAGCAGUAAGGAAUAACUUUGGGAAACCAAAGCUAAUGCCAUAUAUUACCCCUUAAGAAAUUAAGGGGGAAAGAUUUAUCGCUGUUAGAUGGGCCUGUAUCAGAUUAGCUAGUUGGUAGGGUAAUGGCCUACCAAGGCAAUGAUCUGUAGCUGGUCUGAGAGGAUGAUCAGCCACACUGGAUCUGAGACACGGUCCAGACUCCUACGGGAGGCAGCAGUAGGGAAUAUUGGACAAUGGGCGCAAGCCUGAUCCAGCAAUACCACGUGAGUGAUGAAGGUCUUCGGAUUGUAAAGCUCUUUUAGUAGGGAAGAUAAUGACGGUACCUACAGAAAAAGCACCGGCUAACUUCGUGCCAGCCGCCGCCGUAA
This 462-nucleotide ribosomal RNA is filed under the name uncultured bacterium. RNAcentral describes it as "partial 16S ribosomal RNA". It matches the Rfam family "Bacterial small subunit ribosomal RNA", at positions 29 to 523 of the family's 1533-position model. The record is from RNAcentral.